GACGAACGCUGGCGGCGUGCUUAACACAUGCAAGUCGAACGGAAAGGCCCUGCUUUUGUGGGGUGCUCGAGUGGCGAACGGGUGAGUAACACGUGAGUAACCUGCCCUUGACUGUGGGAUAACUUCAGGAAACUCGGGCUAAUACCGGAUAGGAUCUCCUGCUGCAUGGUGGGCGUUGGUGAGUUUCGGCGGUUGGGGCUGGACUGGCGGCUUAUCGGCUUGUUUGUGUGGUAGUGGCUUACCAAGGCUUUGACGGGUAGCCGGCCUGGGAGGUGGAACGGCCACAAUGGGACUACGAGACGGAGCAGACUGCUACGGGAGGCAGCAGUGGGGAAUAUUGCACAAUGGGCGGACGCGUGAUGCAGAAACGCCGCGUGCGGGAUGACGGCCUUCGAGUUGUAAACAGAUUUCGCCUGUGACGAAGCGUGAGUGACGGUAAUGGGUAAAGAAGCCACGGCUAACUACGUG
This 468-nucleotide ribosomal RNA is filed under the name uncultured bacterium. RNAcentral's name for it is "partial 16S ribosomal RNA". It matches the Rfam family "Bacterial small subunit ribosomal RNA", at positions 28 to 507 of the family's 1533-position model. The record is from RNAcentral.